Molecule: non-coding RNA, 122 nt
Organism: Podarcis lilfordi (Lilford's wall lizard)
Lineage: Eukaryota; Metazoa; Chordata; Lepidosauria; Squamata; Lacertidae
Source: the annotation of a GenBank genome assembly
CAGGCAUAGGCAAACUCAGCCCUCCAGAUGUUUUGAGACUAUUACUCCCAUCAUCCUUGACCACUGGGAUGAUGGGAGUUGUAGCCCCAAAACAUCUGGAGGGCUGAGUUUGCCUAUGCCUG